This 116-nucleotide ribosomal RNA is filed under the name Mytilus coruscus. The record is from RNAcentral. Lineage: Eukaryota; Metazoa; Mollusca; Bivalvia; Mytilida; Mytilidae.
ACGACCAUAUCACGUUGAAAAAACACGGUUCUCGUCCGAUCACCGAAGUUAAGCAACGACGAGCUCCCGGUUAGUACUUGGAUGGGGUGACCGCCUGGGAAUACCGGGUGUUGUAG